RNAcentral lists this ribosomal RNA (347 nucleotides) under Scymnus sufflavus. RNAcentral describes it as "partial large subunit ribosomal RNA". The record is from RNAcentral. Lineage: Eukaryota; Metazoa; Arthropoda; Insecta; Coleoptera; Coccinellidae.
AGUAGGGCCUGCCCACUGAAUUUUUAAAGGGCCGCAGUAUUUUAACUGUGCAAAGGUAGCAUAAUCAUUAGUUUUUUAAUUGAAAGCUGGCAUGAAUGGUUUGAUGAGAAAAUAUCUGUUUCAAUAUUAAUUUUUUAAAAUUUUAUUUUUAAGUUAAAAAGCUUAAAUAAUAAUAAAAGACGAGAAGACCCUAUAGAGUUUAAUUUUUAAUUAAAUUUUAAAUUUUAGAAUUAAGGGUUUUAGAUUUAAUUAUUAAUUUAAUUGGGGUGAUUUAAAAAUUUAAUAAACUUUUUUUUAUUUUUACAUUAAUUUAUGAUUUUUUGAUCCAUAAAAAUGAUUAAAAGAAU